GUCCACGCCGUAAACGUUGGGCACUAGGUGUGGGUCUCUAACCAACGAGAUCCGCGCCGUCGCUAACGCAUUAAGUGCCCCGCCUGGGGAGUACGGUCGCAAGACUAAAACUCAAAGGAAUUGACGGGGGCCCGCACAAGCAGCGGAGCGUGUUGCUUAAUUCGAUGCUACGCGAAGAACCUUACCUAGGUUAAAUCAUUGGGAAAAGCCACAGAGAUGUGGUGUCCUGGGCGUCAAUGAAGGUGGUGCAUGGCUGUCGU
This 260-nucleotide ribosomal RNA is filed under the name uncultured bacterium. RNAcentral's name for it is "partial 16S ribosomal RNA". It matches the Rfam family "Bacterial small subunit ribosomal RNA", at positions 793 to 1055 of the family's 1533-position model. The record is from RNAcentral.